AUACGAGGGGUGCAAGCGUUAAUCGGAAUUACUGGGCGUAAAGCGUUCGUAGGCGGUUUGUUAAGCAAGAUGUGAAAGCCCUGGGCUCAACCUGGGAACUGCAUUUUGAACUGGCAAACUAGAAUACUGUAGGGGGUGGUGGAAUUUCCAGUGUAGCGGUGAAAUGCGUAGAGAUUGGAAGGAACAUCAGUGGCGAAGGCGGCCACCUGGACAGAUAUUGACGCUGAGGAACGAAAGCGUGGGGAGCGAACAGGAUUAGAUACCCCGGUAGUCC
RNAcentral lists this ribosomal RNA (274 nucleotides) under uncultured bacterium. RNAcentral's name for it is "partial 16S ribosomal RNA". It matches the Rfam family "Bacterial small subunit ribosomal RNA", at positions 523 to 796 of the family's 1533-position model. The record is from RNAcentral.